AAUAAGAACAGCCAUAAGUUUUCGUGUUCAACUUUAGUCGUCUGUCUUAUUUGAAAAAAUUUUAUAACUAGCAUUUUUAUUGUUAUGAGAUGAUAAAAUAUGAAUAGUACUUUACUCGUGACUUGUGUUUUUAAAAUUUUUUAAAAUACUUUCAAAUAAGACGAACGGUCAAAACUGGGCGCAAAAAACCAUGGCUGCAGUUAUU
Molecule: microRNA precursor, 205 nt
Organism: Oryza sativa Japonica Group (Japanese rice)
Lineage: Eukaryota; Viridiplantae; Streptophyta; Magnoliopsida; Poales; Poaceae
Rfam family: MIR812 microRNA precursor family
Source: Rfam